This 429-nucleotide ribosomal RNA is filed under the name Chloroflexota bacterium. RNAcentral's name for it is "Chloroflexi bacterium partial 16S ribosomal RNA". It matches the Rfam family "Bacterial small subunit ribosomal RNA", at positions 355 to 776 of the family's 1533-position model. Lineage: Bacteria; Bacillati; Chloroflexota. The record is from RNAcentral.
UGGGGAAUAUUGCACAAUGGGCGCACGCCUGAUGCAGCCAUGCCGCGUGUAUGAAGAAGGCCUUCGGGUUGUAAAGCACUUUCAGCGGGGAGGAAGGCGUUAAGGUUAAUAACCUUGGCGAUUGACGUUACCCGCAGAAGAAGCACCGGCUAACUCCGUGCCAGCAGCCGCGGUAAUACGGAGGGUGCAAGCGUUAAUCGGAAUUACGGGGCGUAAAGAGCACGCAGGCGGUCUGUCAAGUCGGAUGUGAAAUCCCCGGGCUCAACCUGGGAGCUGCAUUAGAAACUGGCAGAGUAGAGUCUUGUAGAGGGGGGGAGAAUUCCAGGAGGAGCGGUGAAAUGCGUAGAGAUCUGGAGGAAUACCGGUGGCGAAGGCGGCCCCCUGGGGGAAGAAUGCCGCUCAGGUGCGAAAGCGUGGGGGGCAAAAAGG